This 1067-nucleotide long non-coding RNA is filed under the name Capsicum annuum. RNAcentral describes it as "long non-coding RNA (CANN_LNC003179)". Lineage: Eukaryota; Viridiplantae; Streptophyta; Magnoliopsida; Solanales; Solanaceae. The record is from RNAcentral.
CCCUGUGAUAAGCUAUCAGAGACGUCACCAACCUUGGCAGUGUCAGAGAAAUUAAGGUAAAAAUCUGAUGACAUUUGUGAUAGGUCAUUAAGAGUGUGAUAAGGCAUUAGAAAUACCAUCAGGCUAGGUAGCGAAUGGGAACUAUGGGUAUGGCUUUGUACUGAUGCUAGAUGUUUAACGAUGCAAAAGAUGGUAGGAAAUUUUUCUAAUUUCAUUGUUUUAUAUUUUGUCUAUUAGUUGCAAAUAAUAGAUCCCUCCUUAGGUUUGUUUGCUUGAACUGAGAAAUAAUCUAAAGGUAGCGAAUUAUUAAUGGGGAUUUGGGAAGGUUAAGCUUUCAUCUAAUGGUUAAUGUUGUAACAAGAUUAAUCUACCUGAGAUAACAUCCUAUUAUGAAAUAUAAAUUCCCUAAUUUGAGACAAUUAGGAAAUAAAUUGUCUGAAUUAGUUGAAAAAAAUUUAGAUAUAUCUUUGACAAAGAUAAUCUACUGCUUCUGCCUACCACAAGAAUCUUGAAAUACUAGUGUCUGUCAAAUACCAUUGCCUAUAGUGAACAUAACUCUGGUUUUCCAUCAAACCUUGAUUACAAUUAUUUAAACUAAAUUGACCAAUAAUUUCUGGUUAAACAACAAAACCCCUAUUUAUAGGAAACCAAUAAUUACCACUUGAUUUUCUCACAAAAGACUAUAAAUUUACACCAUAUUCCUUAUGGGAUUCGACCCCAACCUAAUUGGGUUUUAUAUUGACAAUGAUCGCUUACAUUCUCAUAUGAGAGGUGUACUUUGAGCAUUAUCAAAAAUGGCUCCGUUGCCAGGGAAUAUAGUUGUAAAUUUAAGUUUGUGUGUGCUAAUUAACUGUUAGUUAAGUUUCCUGAUUUUAUGUUUAUUUAUUAUUUUUGUUUGAUUUCAGGACCCUAGUGGGGUAUUCCAAAAAAUAGAAGUUCUGGAGAUUCAUUAUUACCAUUUAAUCCAGAACCACAACUAAUCGAAAGAAUGGCAGACCAAUAUAAGGCUGACAUAUUGGCAGCCUUGGCUAGAACUCAAGUGAAUAGGCCGAAUAACGAGAAGCAAG